Molecule: ribosomal RNA, 483 nt
Filed under: uncultured bacterium
Lineage: Bacteria
Also listed under: 1 other name
Description: bacterial SSU rRNA
Rfam family: Bacterial small subunit ribosomal RNA
Source: RNAcentral
AACGCUGGCGGCGUGGAUAAGACAUGCAAGUCGAACGGGGAAUUUGAAAAGCUUGCUUUUUAAAUUCCUAGUGGCGGACGGGUGCGUAACACGUGAGCAACCUGCCCAAAAGAGGGGGAUAGCCCGAGGAAACUCGGAUUAAUACCGCGUAUGGUCCGGAAAGGCAUCUUUCCAGGAUUAAAGGUGGGGAUCCGCAAGGACCUGCCGCUUUUGGAUGGGCUCGCGGCCUAUCAGCUUGUUGGUGAGGUAAAGGCUCACCAAGGCUACGACGGGUAACUGGUCUGAGAGGACGAUCAGUCACACUGGAACUGAGACACGGUCCAGACACCUACGGGUGGCAGCAGUCGAGAAUCAUUCGCAAUGGGCGAAAGCCUGACGGUGCGACGCCGCGUGGAGGAUGAAGGCCCUAGGGUCGUAAACUCCUGUCAUUCAGCAGAGUAAUGCUUUCCAAUUAACAGUCGGAAAGUUUGAUAGUAUCUGAAG